AUCUACAAAAAUAUACACUUUACAUAUGUAGCAUAAAGUAUAUUAACUGGUGUGGAAACUAGCCGUUUUGAUCUGAGAAUAACAUGAAGAAAGACAAAUAAACAAAUGUAAUUGUUUAAGAUAUGUGAACGCGACAUAAAUUUGUAAAAACAAACAAUAUGUAGAGAACAACGGUAUCUACAUAGGUAAAAAACGAGCAGUAACGAUAUCAACACUCUGGCUCAAUCAUAAUGUAAACAUCCUGUGUUAUUUAAUAUUCUGUGAAGCUCACUUGUGAAUGUAAACAGAAACAUUCUAAAAACAGUCAUAACAAUAUAAAGGUAAAUGCUUGAGAUUUAUAACAAUAACACAUGCUUAUAAUGAAACUUUUCAUAACACAUUAGAAUAUAAACAAUGUUGAAAAUAAUCCAAUAGUUACUUGAAUGGAAAUGAACAGCCUUGACAAGUCUUGGUUUACAUUAAGCCAUAAUGAAAUAGCGAUUUCAACAAACUCUUGUGAAAAGAGUAGGAUAAAGAUAAUGAAAAUGUUCAUUUAUAGUUUCGGCACAAGCGGAAGCGCUUGUUCCCCCUUGUUGAUAUUUGGUCUUCUUAGUUUUAUCGUGAUAUUUUCAAGAUUACGUAGAUUUCUCUUAGUAUGUGCUCUGAGAAAUAUCUUGAAGCAUUGAUUGAUCGGUGGGCUGUCGUUACAGUUUUGAGUGUGUUUUGCUUCAUAUGUGAAAAAGACACUUUUGAAGUUUAGGUGUUCGUUGAUUCGACCUUUUCUUGUUUCAUGGCUGCCGAUCCUAUAGAUUCUUGUUUGGAACUCAAGCAUACUGGUACACAAACAUGGAGCUUGUAACUCGAGAAUACUGGUACACGACCUGGAGUUUGGAACUCAAGCAUACUGGCACACGACCAUAGAGUUUAAUAACGGCAAAAUUCAGAGUUCAAUCCCUAAGAAGAUCAAAACAGGCAUCACACUAGGAUGUUAAACGAACAUAUAAGCCGUCAACAAUGUCUGAAUUACAGAAACGCACUCCCGUUCAUAUAUAGUAUUGUUGUGAAGCGGUUGGGAAAACUUUUCAUAAUACGAGCAUAUCCUCUUUCGACUGCCACUCUUAAUAGACUCUGAGGACAAGUGGUAAAAGAAAAGGACUUUGAUAACGACCUUCUGCUAAAUAUGGCACAAAUAUCACGCCACUUUGAAAAUCCAAGUGAUAUUUCCUCUUAUCGAUUGUUUUGCAGACUAACCGUGAUUCUAUACCUUUGUAUUUAUAUAGCUUAGGCAGUUACUGGAUAUAGAACCUUCUGAUCAUUCUGUUUUGCAUAUGAAAAUACAAAGAGUUUAAACUAACAUUACUGAGGUUAUCUGGCCGGCCAAUUGCCACAUGAAGUGGCAAAAUUAUUUAUAUCUAGGCCAUCCUAAUCGUAACUCACCCUAAUAUUAGACAGUUAGCUAUAUGUUGUGUUAUUUGAAGAACAAUAGAUUGUAGCGGCAGGUUUCAAAGAAAGUAAAUGACUUGAAAUCAGCUAGCAUUUGUUUUAUUAAAUUUUGAUUUUCAGUUUCAACUAUAUUUAGUGUCAAUUAAAUUUUGUCAUUCAUUUGCGUCUUAAAACCAAUUUAUUUGAUUCUGUCAUUAAGUGAUUUAUAGCUUUGCUUGUCUGUUGUCUGAUUGUGUAAAUAAAGUGUGCAUAUGGGUGUGAAGCACCCAGUCUCGUAGUUUUCUUUUUACGGCUACCUUAGUUAUCCAACAUAUUUUCAUGAACCGAACUUCUAUUUUUCGGCCCAACAUGGCCAGGUGGUUAGGACGAUCGACUCACAAUCUGCGAGUCGCGGGUUCGAAUCCCCGUCCCACCAAACAUGCUCGCCCUUUCAGCCGUGGGGGCGUUAUAUCGUGAA
RNAcentral lists this long non-coding RNA (1879 nucleotides) under Limulus polyphemus (Atlantic horseshoe crab). Its description in RNAcentral is "uncharacterized LOC111086413". Lineage: Eukaryota; Metazoa; Arthropoda; Merostomata; Xiphosura; Limulidae. The record is from RNAcentral.